This 65-nucleotide transfer RNA is filed under the name Sternocampsus coriaceus. Its description in RNAcentral is "tRNA-Pro". The record is from RNAcentral. Lineage: Eukaryota; Metazoa; Arthropoda; Insecta; Coleoptera; Elateridae.
CAGAGAAUAGUUUAUUUAAAAUAUUAAUUUUGGAGAUUAAUGAUAGGAAGUUUUUCUUUCUUUGA